AACGAACGCUGGCGGCAUGCCUAACACAUGCAAGUCGAACGAAGCCUUCGGGCUUAGUGGCGCACGGGUGCGUAACGCGUGGGAAUCUGCCCUUGGGUUCGGAAUAACAGUUAGAAAUGACUGCUAAUACCGGAUGAUGUCUUCGGACCAAAGAUUUAUCGCCCAAGGAUGAGCCCGCGUAGGAUUAGGUAGUUGGUGGG
This 200-nucleotide ribosomal RNA is filed under the name uncultured bacterium. RNAcentral describes it as "partial 16S ribosomal RNA". It matches the Rfam family "Bacterial small subunit ribosomal RNA", at positions 29 to 256 of the family's 1533-position model. The record is from RNAcentral.